Molecule: long non-coding RNA, 581 nt
Filed under: Coturnix japonica (Japanese quail)
Lineage: Eukaryota; Metazoa; Chordata; Aves; Galliformes; Phasianidae
Description: lncRNA (ENSCJPG00005018650.1)
Source: RNAcentral
AUGUGUGGGCGCAUCAUUAAAAGCUUCAAUUUGUCAAUGCCAGAUCGAACUCGAGUGCGUGGGCAGAUCAUUAAAGGCUUCAGUUUAUCAGAACCGAUCUCCCCAGCGUUUCUCUCCCCACAGGCGGUGUGUGCCGUGUCCCCGGCUCUCCAGGCUGUGCUUCAUGGAGGAGCCCCAGCAGCUUCUAUGUCCACAGGCCUUGCUGGGCUCCUUCCCUUGUACACCUCCAGAUGUAUGAUGUGUGCAGGCUACUCAGCUGAUGUGAUAGUCUCCUGAGAACAUUUUUUUCUGAGUGAUUCCAGCUUCCAGACAUUUGCCAUGAUAAGGGUUUCGAUCCUUUCCCAUAUUUGCCCUGAGUCAUGAGUGGAUAUGUGUGAUGCCUGCAAGUAAAACUGGUGAGUCGCCAAAGCCAUGUUUGCAGUAACUCUAACUCUUUCUUACAGUCUCUUUCCCUCACUCUUCUUUUCUUUUUGAUAUGGUGGGGAUUUGGGGUUCCUUUUUUUGUAAUGUCUGUGUUCAUAAACAAGUCACCACUAUUUUGUACCUCUCGAAUAAACACGUUAAUUGCAUUGAAAUAUCCA